This is a long non-coding RNA of Pogona vitticeps (central bearded dragon), 2370 nucleotides long. Ensembl lists it as uncharacterized. Lineage: Eukaryota; Metazoa; Chordata; Lepidosauria; Squamata; Agamidae. The record is from Ensembl.
GAGCAUUCCAGCCUAGCCCAAGCCCCAUGGAACAGAAUUUCAUUAAUUACCCAGUUUUUCCUAAGUUAUCCAAAGGCCCAAAUUCCCCAUAUUUUUUUCCCUUCCUUUCUUCUUAUUAUAGAAGAGGUUUAUAAAAGCCUCCUCUCAUUCCCUCGGUUUCAAGGCGUUGGUCUCCUAUUGGACCUCUCGCCAUCUGCACUACAAACACAAAACCGGUUCCAAAACUAGUUCAGCUAGCACAGGCUGCUCCCGAGGAACUCUGGGAGUGGUAGUUUCGGACGGGCGGCAGGGACCCUUGCCUUAUAGGGGCAGAGCCUUCGCUCUGAACUACAACCUCCAUGUGUCACUGCAAGGGAAGCCACGACAGCUAAAACGGGUUUCUCUCUGUGCCUGUGUGGCUCUUUACGUUCCGUGGUGUGUGUGUUUGUGUGUCGUGCCUGUGUGGCUCUUUACGUUCCGUGGUUUGUGUGUGCGCGUAUAUAUACUGUAUGUGUGUUUGUGGACGUGCUCUCAAGUCUCCGUUCCUCGGAGGCAACGACAACGGACUCCCAGUUGUUUUGGUCGUCGGGAAGCGAACGGAACUUCCGUCUAAGCGGCGUACGUGUAGGAUCGCGGAUCGGAAGGAGUGCUUUUGAACCGCUUUCGUCGUUCGCAGAACCCACGGGAGGAAAGUUCCUAGGAUAAGACCCUGAACGGAGAAACCAGCCCUUUGUGGUGUUCUGGAUGGUACCGAUUCUGAGAAAGUAGUGGUGGACUUCAGCAGGGAGGCUUUCUGGGCCUGAAUUCUGCCUUGCAAGGGUCAUCAUGCAAAACAACUAUGCAACUGUGGCCUUGCUAGGUAAGAACUCCCUCUCGCCCAAGGAAUCACAACCUCCUUUCUACCUUAGACUGAGGAGGAAGCCGUGAAAAACAGCUUCUCCUGGCCAAGCAUGGUUUGGAGUUUCCAGCAAAAGACAGACUUGUCCCUCUUUUUUUUCCUUUUUCGCUCCUGCACAGGGUUGCCUGCUGAUGAACCAGAACUUAUUUGCAAAGUGGAGCCAGAGGAAGAGCCAUGGAUCCCAAAGGAGCAGGCUGCUAGGGAGAGGCGGAUCCUGCCUGCAAGCAAGUCAGGUGCCGAAACUCCAGAAGUUGCCGUCCCCUCCUACAGACAGUAUCGUGGCACCACGUGGACCUACCCAGAGGUCAUUGACCUUCUGGUCAUCUGGCGAGAGCGAGAGAUCCAACAGGAACUCCAGCGGAGCCAUCGGAACAUUGAAACCUUUCAGGUAGUGGCCGGCAAAAUGGCCAAGAGAGGCCACAGGCGUACGGCCCUGGAGUGCCGGUCGAAAAUCAAAACGUUGAAGAGAGACUACCGCAUCGCUAAAGCCAACAACUCACCCGGGAAGGGUCACCUGGCUUGGCUUUUCUAUGACAGGUUGGACCACUUGUUGGAGAAUGACAGGGACCUCUCACCUCUGGAGAAGCUCCCUGGUUUAAAUCACCGCCAGGUAGCCAUCAUAGACUCUAUAUCGCAGUGUUCCACGGAGGAGGAAGCCACAACAGACGGGGUGAAGGAAGGUGGCCCGGACGGUCAAGAAGUGCUGGAGCUCAGAAGGUCCUCCCCAGCCAAGAUCGGGAAAGACAGCAUUCCUCUGCCGUGCAUCAAGCAAGAAGCCCCGGACGAAAUGCCAGUCACAGUGCCCCAGGAAGUCAGCAGUCCUGUUCCACCUCUCCCUUCGACUCCUUGUGAUAAACCAGGAUGCUCUGCCUCAACUGUAGAUGGUGCUGUUACCUCACCCCAAAGCCCCAUUCCUGGUCCUGCAAGGUCUUACGCAGCUGAACGACUGGCCAACAUCAGAAAGAGGAAACGGAAAAACAGGCAAGAUAUGGCCCUAGAGAUCACACAGGCAGCCGAUAGACGGGUCCAAAUGGCCACGGACAGGAUCCUGGCAGCACUUGGGGAAUACGCCAAGGCAGAUCUGCAGGACCGUGAGCGGGACCGAGUGGACACUGAACAGAUUAUUGCCCUCAUGAACCGCCAGACAGAACUUUUGGAGUCGCUGGUGCGAAAGCAGACUGAGACCCAGGCCCGCGUGUCGCCCACCUUGACCUGGCCUUCCCGGAUUCCUCGGCCUGGGCAGCCAAAUCAUCCUUCCGAAUCGUCUCCCUUGCACUUGGGCGUAACCCGGCGUCCCCUUGCAAGGGCAAGAUACAGGAGGUGAUUCCCAUCGUUGCUUGUGCUGCCUUUUAAAAAGGCCUCCUUGGUAGCUUCUUAUCCUACAGGACACAGAGGGUGGGGAGUAUACCUUUGCAAACGGGUUGUGGCUUUUUCAAGACUUUUUUCAAUCUUUUUACAGUGAAUGAUUUUAUUUGCCAAUUGUAAAAAAAGAA